UACAAUGGCCGGUACAAAGGGCUGCGAUACCGCGAGGUGGAGCGAAUCCCAGAAAGCCGGUCUCAGUUCGGAUUGGGGUCUGCAACUCGACCCCAUGAAGUCGGAGUCGCUAGUAAUCGCAGAUCAGCAACGCUGCGGUGAGCACGUUCCCGGGCCUU
Molecule: ribosomal RNA, 158 nt
Filed under: uncultured Cellulomonas sp.
Lineage: Bacteria; Bacillati; Actinomycetota; Actinomycetes; Micrococcales; Cellulomonadaceae
Description: partial 16S ribosomal RNA
Rfam family: Bacterial small subunit ribosomal RNA
Source: RNAcentral